UAAAAAACCUAAAAAGCUAUGAGAGAGAAAGAUCUAGAGGGAGCUAUAGCCUAUAGGCGAGGCCAUCUACACUAAUCUCCCUCCCCCUCCCCCAUAUGACAUUUCGUCGGAGACGGGCGAGGUCACAUUAUUCUUCCCGAUCUCCAGUUAGUUGUUGUUCCGUCCAUAGAUUAUAUUAAAUCGACUUUGUUAGAUUGUAUUGUUGUCGCUUCGCUCUUCUCAACUAGUUGUUUUGGAUCAUCGAUUUUAGAAACCGGUUCAUGGUUUUGUCACCAAUUCCUAAUAAAUUUCAGAGGAGCAUAAUUAUUUUGAAGGUUUUUUAGGGUUUAUCAAGGAUUCAUGGAUUGCAUAUUGAUCUAGAUGUUUAUCUUGAGAUGGGAGUAUGAAAUUAGAACAAGCCACCGAGCUCUCUCUUUGAGAAAUAUGUUGAAUUGUUCAUGCUGCUCUAAGAUCCAGAGGGAGGCAUCUCUAUUACUUGGACAAUUUGCUGCAACUGAUUCAGAUUGCAAGGUCUUUAAUAGAGUUAUGUUCUCUAUUACGAAGUAUUUUUUUGUAAAUUUGGAAUAAAAAACCAAGCAUAUCUACUUCAAUUUUUUUUUUUUAUAUAAUAAGGAAAGAAAGCUAGGAGGAUUACCUAGUUCACCCUUUCGGGUGACCCAUCCUUUUGGAUGAAAUACAUUGACUCCGAGCAAAUAAGAUUUAUCACAGAAUGUCUUAGCUAUGGUAAAAUUUGACACAAUAUUGUUUCUAGGUUCGGAUUAUUCAGAGAGGUGUUGUUCCGCCUUUGAUUGUAAUGCUCCAGUCCCCAGAUUUACAGCUGAGGGAAAUGUCAGCUUUAGCUUUGGGGAGGCUAUCACAGGAUGUAUGGUAGAUAAAAGGAUGGCCAGUAGGGCAUAGAUUGAAGUUCAUUUGCACUGAUUUUUAGACAAAUAAAUUGCGGAGUAAAUAUUAGAUAGGUUCUAGAUUGCCUGAACUAUUAGUUUUUUUAGGAUAUUCGUUAGUUAUCUUAAUUGAUGUAUUUAUAUUAUAACAAUGAUUUUUUUAUUAGAAUGAUUGUUACUUUGUUAUGGAUAUUUUAUUUUAAUAAUAAGUAAAACUUAAUUUGAAUUAAAUGCUUUCUUUUUGUGAUAGUUGGAUAUUUUAGUAUAAUAUUUUCAUUUUAAUGAGCUACUAAAUAAACGUGUAUCAAACAGUUGCUAUAAGCUCGCAUUAAAGUGUAUUUACACUAAUAUAAACCUGGUCCAUGCUAACUUAGCGUGGACCAGGGCAACGGAGAAAUUUGUAUGGGUAACCUAUGUAACUGUCACGUGACAGUUAUUUUGUAAUUUUAAAUAGUAACUAUAUGCGUAUUACAGUAACUAUGUGUUUUAAAGAGUAACUAUGUGUUUUGAAGAGUUUUAAUGCGAUUUGUGUCUAGCCCACUUUAUAUACAUUUUAAACUUUUUUAUUUUUUAAAAUUUCAGAUCUACAAUCUGUUCAUUCUCUUUCAUUUUCUCUCUCUUCAUUUUCUCUCUAUGCUUUUCAAAAUUUAGCCCGAAUUUCUAGGUUUUGUUCGAUUUUCUUCGUAAUUAUCUUAUAGUUCUUAUGAUUGGAUCUAUUAGAUGAGGAAAAAUUGGAGGAAGUAGUAGAUCAAGAAGGAGGUUCGUCGUUGCCGAAAUCGAAUCGAAGAAUUUGCGCUCGCCUACAAAUCUUCGCAAGAAUUUUUAGAGAUCACAUCUCGAAAUACAAAGAUGAUGCACUCAAAAUUGAAAUCGUGCAAAGAAUAAAUUCUGCAAGGAAAACAAAAGCAGGAGGAGAAGAAGAAAACCCUGACAACAAUGGAAACCAAGAACGUGGUAGAGGAAGCACAUGAUGUGUUGGUGGAAAAAAGAGACGUGGUCCACGUGGACGUGUCGAUUAGUAUUUUUUAGUUCAAAAAACAUUUGAGUUUAACAUGGUUUAUUUAAUAGAUGCAAAGAAUUAGAAUGUCGUAGCUAAAACAACUAACCAAGUAGUUAAUGUUUUCUUUAUUAUUGUUCAAGAGUUAUAAUUACUGUUACUUUUGAUAUAGUUACUCUUUUAUAUUUCAGUAAUUAUGUGAUAUAUAAUAGAAAAAAUUACUAUAUGACCUCUAAA
Spinacia oleracea (spinach) is the source of this 2115-nucleotide RNA transcript. It is a transcript of the gene named ARM REPEAT PROTEIN INTERACTING WITH ABF2, with no coding region annotated. The transcript is spliced from 5 exons. NCBI's taxonomy places the organism in Eukaryota, Viridiplantae, Streptophyta, Magnoliopsida, Caryophyllales, Amaranthaceae. The record is from RefSeq and is a predicted model, not a curated record.